Molecule: ribosomal RNA, 733 nt
Filed under: uncultured bacterium
Lineage: Bacteria
Description: bacterial SSU rRNA
Rfam family: Bacterial small subunit ribosomal RNA
Source: RNAcentral
CGGACUCAUAUUGAAACCUAGUGAUUUAUGAGUUAGUGGCGGACGGGUGAGUAACGCGUGGAAAACCUGCCGUAUACCGGGGGAUAACACUUAGAAAUAGGUGCUAAUACCGCAUAAGCGCACAGCUUCGCAUGAAGCAGUGUGAAAAACUCCGGUGGUAUAUGAUGGUUCCGCGUCUGAUUAGCUAGUUGGCGGGGUAACGGCCCACCAAGGCAGCGAUCAGUAGCCGGCCUGAGAGGGUGAACGGCCACAUUGGGACUGAGACACGGCCCAAACUCCUACGGGAGGCAGCAGUGGGGAAUAUUGCACAAUGGGGGAAACCCUGAUGCAGCGACGCCGCGUGAGUGAAGAAGUAUUUCGGUACGUAAAGCUCUAUCAGCAGGGAAGAAAAGGAACUAAAGUUCCCAUGACGGUACCUGAUUAAGAAGCCCCGGCUAACUACGUGCCAGCAGCCGCGGUAAUACGUAGGGGGCAAGCGUUAUCCGGAUUUACUGGGUGUAAAGGGAGCGUAGACGGCAGCGCAAGUCUGGAGUGAAAUGCCGGGGCCCAACCCCGGAACUGCUUUGGAAACUGUGCAGCUGGAGUGCGGGAGAGGUAAGUGGAAUUCCUAGUGUAGCGGUGAAAUGCGUAGAUAUUAGGAGGAACACCAGUGGCGAAGGCGGUCUGCUGGACAGCAACUGACGCUGAGGCGCGAAAGCGUGGGGAGCAAACAGGAUUAGAUACCCUGGUAGUC